Molecule: long non-coding RNA, 229 nt
Filed under: Lathyrus oleraceus (garden pea)
Lineage: Eukaryota; Viridiplantae; Streptophyta; Magnoliopsida; Fabales; Fabaceae
Description: Pisum sativum (pea) long non-coding RNA (PSAT_LNC008511)
Source: RNAcentral
AACAACAGAAGGAAGCCGAUAGCCUUCUUUUCAAACAAAAAAUUUACAGAGAGAAGUAAUUAGUCUUCCUUUCAAAUGACUUGUUGAAGCGAUUAGUCUCAUUUACAAACAACAACUUGAAGUGGUUUAUAAUUAGAAAAACAACAUAAUUAUGUAGAAAUUUGACAAGAGAAAAAAUAAAAUAAAAUAUGUAGAAAUGAAUAUGUGUGUUUAUAAAGUAACAAAAAUC